GACGAACGCUGGCGGCGUGCUUAACACAUGCAAGUCGAACGAAGAGCGAUGGACGCUUGCUUCUAUCAAUCUUAGUGGCGAACGGGUGAGUAACGCGUAAUCAACCUGCCCUUCAGAGGGGGACAACAGUUGGAAACGACUGCUAAUACCGCAUACGAUCUAAUCUCGGCAUCGAGGAUAGAUGAAAGGUGGCCUCUACAUGUAAGCUAUCACUGAAGGAGGGGAUUGCGUCUGAUUAGCUAGUUGGAGGGGUAACGGCCCACCAAGGCGAUGAUCAGUAGCCGGUCUGAGAGGAUGAACGGCCACAUUGGGACUGAGACACGGCCCAGACUCCUACGGGAGGCAGCAGUGGGGAAUCUUCCGCAAUGGACGAAAGUCUGACGGAGCAACGCCGCGUGAGGGAUGACGGCCUUCGGGUUGUAAAGCUCUGUUAAUCGGGACGAAAGGCCUUCUUGCGAAUAGUGAGAAGGAUUGACGGUACCGGAAUAGAAAGCCACGGCUAACUACGUG
RNAcentral lists this ribosomal RNA (510 nucleotides) under uncultured bacterium. Its description in RNAcentral is "partial 16S ribosomal RNA". It matches the Rfam family "Bacterial small subunit ribosomal RNA", at positions 28 to 507 of the family's 1533-position model. The record is from RNAcentral.